AAGCUUAUAAUGACAAAAACAAUUAUCUUAGAGGAUCUGAGUGUGGUUUAUUGUACCUGAAUAAUCUGAAUUUGUUACACUAAGGUUU
Non-coding RNA from Arabidopsis thaliana x Arabidopsis arenosa, 88 nucleotides. NCBI's taxonomy places the organism in Eukaryota, Viridiplantae, Streptophyta, Magnoliopsida, Brassicales, Brassicaceae. The record is from the annotation of a GenBank genome assembly.